Molecule: ribosomal RNA, 435 nt
Filed under: Triticum aestivum (bread wheat)
Lineage: Eukaryota; Viridiplantae; Streptophyta; Magnoliopsida; Poales; Poaceae
Description: partial small subunit ribosomal RNA
Source: RNAcentral
AUGGCAAUCGUUCCAGCAAUGCCGACAAGCACACCUUUGCACACCAGCACAAGCAACACUCAAGCAGAUGAAACAGCCGCCGAUACUGAAGUGAAUGAUGAAACCGAUGACGAAGCACAAGGGGAUGAAGAUGGUGGGCAAUCAGAAAUCAUAGUACCUCAGCCACCGUAUCUUCGGCAGACAUUUGAUUCGUUUGAAGAUGCAAAGGAAUUCUACCAGACAUAUGCAAAGUUCCAUGGGUUUGCGGUCAACAUCGAAUACCAUAGGAAAAUUAAAAAAACUAACGAGUACAGCAGAGGUGAGAUGAGGUGCUACAAGGCACGAAGAAACAAGAAGGGCAAAGGUGAUGCGCAUGUUGUUCCGGAACGAAAGAGAGGCAUCAUUGUCAAGACGGAAUGCCCUGUCCGGUGUAAGCUUAACAUAGAUGGAGCAUAG